RNAcentral lists this long non-coding RNA (2650 nucleotides) under Takifugu rubripes (torafugu). RNAcentral's name for it is "lncRNA (ENSTRUG00000029932.1)". Lineage: Eukaryota; Metazoa; Chordata; Actinopteri; Tetraodontiformes; Tetraodontidae. The record is from RNAcentral.
GUUAUUGAGAAUGUAGACGUGCCACAAAAAGACGACAGAGACGAUCAAAACGUUUCAGUGGACACAUCUCAACAAGGACAAGGAAAUGGGUGUGAAGGAGGUGAUUUGAGCUGGAGACAACUUUUCAUGCAAAUCUCCCAGAAGAUGGCCUCUUUAGGACAGGUGAAGGAGGAACGCCAGAGCAUCGGCUCAGAGGGAGGAGAGAGUGUGCAGGAUGUAAGAGGAGUGAGGCUGGAGAAGCAGCUACAUCAUUGACCACAGGUUGUUUUGAAAAGGUUUCUGUCCCCUCAGGUUUCACGCAGGAUGCUGAUGUCUCCCAGGUCCACUUGUGAAGCUCUCUGGAGGACGCAGGAGUCUGUUGCCAUGUUGAGACAAAUAGUACGUUUAAUUGUUACUGAGGUUAAGAGGUGAAACUAGCAACUUUGGCGCUGAUGCUUAAAGCUAGCCACCUAAUGCUAAUUAGCGCUUUUUUUAGGUUCAAACUGUCACUCUUCUCGUCUCGUCUUAACCAUGUGGUAAAUUUCUUCUGGUGAUAGUAGAGAUGUGCUGAUUUAAAAGGAAUCUUCGAAGGCACCGACUUGGUUAUGAGAGAUGUUUAUUGGAGAGAAAGGUCAGGUAUCAAUCGGACACCGCAGAUUGUCCGAGGGAGGUUUCCUGGUCCUGAUGGUGAAGAUCUCCGAAGUGCUUGGUUCGGUAGCCCCUUAUAUAUGGUCAAGUAAACACAUUCCUUUCUUGUGACCCCUGCAAACCCCUGACCAAAUCAGGAGUAGAGGAACAACAUAGGACACAGAUGGAACAUGUUGAUAUGGUGCCAGGAUGGCUGAAGAAGAUAAGGUCUCUAAAGCUAAGAUCCUCAGCAGAAAUCGGGAUCUGCUAGGGAACAAUACACAUUCUUCAGACACUACAACCCCUUUAUCCCUUUUGGGGUCCCAAUUUGGUAUUUUUAAGCCUAAUGUGCACUCUGCUCACAGGGGCGUCAGUAAUGAAAGUGACUGACGUGUUUCUGCUGUCUCAGAGGGGGGCCGACAGUUUGCAUCCUGAUCUGAACGAGGAGAUGUUCAGAGCCGUAAGAAGCGUCCUCCUCUGUCUGACCGAGUUAACGGACUCCGGUUUGAAGCCCUCCGAUGCCAGGAACGAUGGCAGUCAGCUGAGGCUGCUCCAGCAGGAGUGUUUGUCGACAGAGGUGCUGAAGCUGUCUGAGCUGAUGGCCGCAGUAAGGUCAGAGAUCCUGCCCCGUAUAUCGAGGGAACAUCCGGAGGCCGAGCGCUGCCUCAGGUCUCUUCAGGACUGUCUGGACAUGGUCCCGCUGAGCUGCACCCCCCUCUGCUGCCAGCUCAGCCAGCAGCUGGACCUUCCGUGCCAACAUCAGGAGCUCAACAACCUGCUGAACAUUUGUGAUGUGUUCGAUCUAAAACCUUGUUGGACAUUCCCCCAUCUGAUGGACAGCCCCAUUAUGGAGCUCAUUCUUGGCAGACGCGUCCAGGAGGGUCCAGGUGAGAAAGCCGGGCUGCUGCAAGCUUCCCGCUCGUUGCUUCGGGGGAUAAGUGGCCUCCUGGAGCAGGGGGAGGGCUGCCUGACCGAAGGACUGAGCCAGGUCCACAGCCGCGCUCGGGCCGAGGCAGCUCUCCGCAGGCAGCAGAAGCUCCUGCAUGUCCUGGACUCUCAGGUGGCAUUUGUGCAGAAUCUGUUCCAACGAGAGCCCAAAGCGCUCGUGAGUCUGGGGGCCGAGUGGACUCAGCUGGAGGUCCGAGCCAGAUGUUUGCAGCAAAGGAUUCUGGACCAGGAGGUGGUUUCCCAACAGAGGAUCCAGGAUUGGGCCCGUUGGGAGGGGCUGUACGGCCGACUGAGCGCUGGGGGGACGGAGGGGGAUGACCAGAAGCCGACAGAACUCAGACUGGACGCCUGCCAGCUCACCCUGAAGGAGCCGGGCGACAGCGAGGCUGCUGCAGGGCUGCUGCUGGACCAGCUCAGUGGGCUGCAGGGAGAACCGGUCGGACCUGUAGGGGGCGCCCUGGAGCCACGGUGGUGGAAGGAGAAGGAGACGCGGCGCUGCAGAGACAAACGGGACCGCACCAGCAGAGCUCCCCCGGUCUUCUCUUCGGUCGCCGACUGGCUGGUCGGUGCCAACAAACUCCUACAGGCCUGGUCCGGCCGGAUCCACGAGUCUGACGGGGACCAGGAGUGUGUUCACAAGCAUCUGAUCAGAGUGCUGGACUUCUCCGUGGAGGCCGACGCCGUGGCCGUGAAGAUGGCGUCUCUGAGGGCAGCCGAUUGGCCGAGGGCCCAGGUGUCGGAGCUGGAGGUCGACCGGAGCCGUGUGACCUCUGCUCUGUCCAAGCUACAGGAGCAGCUGCAGCGGCGCCUACUGGACCAGUGGCCGCCCGUCAAGCUCUUGCCGGGCCUGCAGGGUUGGUUCCAGGGGCUGGAGACCCGUCUGAUCCACGAGAAAGAAACCGUCUCCAAGGCUGAAAACGCCGCUCAGCUGACCGAUGUCCUGCAGAACUACCAGGUAUUCUCAGUAAUCCAGGAUCUGUCCCAGAACCUCGGUCCCAGAACCUCGGUCCCAGAACCUGCAGCAGUGUUGAACAUCAGAGACUCUGUGGGUUUGUUGUUGCUCUGUUUUGUUGAGAUCUUUAUAUAAAAGCUGUUU